This 1186-nucleotide long non-coding RNA is filed under the name Sus scrofa (pig). Its description in RNAcentral is "lncRNA (ENSSSCG00005044058.1)". Lineage: Eukaryota; Metazoa; Chordata; Mammalia; Artiodactyla; Suidae. The record is from RNAcentral.
UUCAGGCUCAGAAUCCUUUGAUUUUUCCCUGUGGUGUGGCCUUUAGCUAGGAGCAGGGUCACGAGUCACCUCCCUGGAGGCCCCUGCCAUGCCUGCUCAGGGACAGGGUGGGAAGGGGUGUCUGCCUCUUCCUGUGGACCCCGACACAAGCCAUCUGGCCCCCUGGCGCCUGAGACAACUGGGAAUAAGACACCUUCCCUUGCAGAGCUGCUGGCCAAGGGCUAAGCCAGCAGCGCAGUGACUGGCCCAUGGGAAGCUGUCCACAUACCAAGCACUUUUCCUCACUCCCUCCACAGAUUCGCCUACACCCUGAUGGUGCUUGAGUUUCAGAGCUCACAGGCCUCCUCUUCCCCAGGUCGGCCUCCUGCAGCUGCUCCAGGUAAAAGAGUAUGUGGGACAAAACGACCUGAGAACAUGAGGCUCAGCCCCUGCUUCUCUGUCAGAAGGAGUGGUGGAGACGAUCAGACCAUUUCACUUACGUCACCAACGACAAAAUAUGUUUUCCUCUGCCCUCAACCACGCGGUCAGCACAAGAGUUCUGCUCUGACUCCAGGGCAGAGUCUGUCGAGCUCAUCUCCAAACAAAUUAGAGAAGAUGAGAUGUGGUGAUGGAUGAGAAGGUGGCUAAGAGAGACUCCAGCCAACACAGCUUUUCAUGAUUGGGAUCAAACUCAAUCUGCAGGAGAGCUCCAGAGAGAACAAGGCCCCGUCCCUCAUUUCACCCCCACACAAAGCUGAGGCCAGAGAACGUCAAGACUUACCCAAGGUCACACAGCCACACAGCAGCAGAGCUGGGACUGGGCUCUAGCUGUUCUACUGCACAGGCCCCUUCUUUCCCACUCAGGCCGACUUGUAAUUAUUUCUGAAGACAAUGGCGGGGGGAAAAGGUUCUGAAUACUCUCUGGGUAACAGCUAACUCCCAGAGAAUAAGGUACGCUGGCUCAGUCGGAUUCCCAACGACAGAAGAACGGACGACGCUCCUCCCAACGUACUGGGACAGGAAGCUCCCAGCACCUCAGAGCAGCGGCUUUUCCCUCAGAGGUAUACCUGCAGUGCUAGAGAAGCAGCCUGCUGGCGGGCCUCCCAGCCCUAGUACAGCGGAGCGCUCUGAGCAGGCGCAGGCACAGUAGCAGCCUGGACGCCAUCCCCCGCCCCCCACUCACACACACUCCUCCACCCCUCCCCAC